AGAGGUGUAGCUUAGUUGGUAAAGCAUAUGAUUCCAAAUCAUGAGACCGAAGGUUCGAGUCCUUUCAUCUCUG
RNAcentral lists this transfer RNA (73 nucleotides) under Yamagishiella unicocca. RNAcentral describes it as "tRNA-Trp". It matches the Rfam family "tRNA". Rfam says of the family: Transfer RNA (tRNA) molecules are approximately 80 nucleotides in length. Their secondary structure includes four short double-helical elements and three loops (D, anti-codon, and T loops). The record is from RNAcentral. Lineage: Eukaryota; Viridiplantae; Chlorophyta; Chlorophyceae; Chlamydomonadales; Volvocaceae.